RNAcentral lists this ribosomal RNA (1418 nucleotides) under Psychrobacter sp. SLL5. Its description in RNAcentral is "partial 16S ribosomal RNA". It matches the Rfam family "Bacterial small subunit ribosomal RNA", at positions 10 to 1356 of the family's 1533-position model. Lineage: Bacteria; Pseudomonadati; Pseudomonadota; Gammaproteobacteria; Moraxellales; Moraxellaceae. The record is from RNAcentral.
GGCUCAGGAUCCUGGCUCAGAUUGAACGCUGGCGGCAGGCUUGAACACAUGCAAGUCGAGCGGAAACGAUGAUUAGACUUGCUCAGGCGUCGAGCGGGGGAUAGCACGGGGAAACUCGUAUUAAUACCGCAUACGACCUACGGGAGAAAGGGGGCAUUUACUGCUCUCGCUAUUAGAUGAGCCUAAGUCGAUUAGCUAGAUGGUGGGGUAAAGGCCUACCAUGGCGACGAUCUGUAGCUGGUCGGAUGAGAGGAUGAUCAGGCCACACCGGACUGAGACACGGCCCCGGACUCUCACCAAGGCAGCAGUGGGGAAUAUUGGACAAUGGGGGAAACCCUGAUCCAUGCCGCGUGUGAAGAAGGCCUUUUGGUUGUAAAGCACUUUAAGCAGUGAAGAAGACUCCAUGGUUAAUACCCAUGGACGAUGACAUUUAGCUGCCAGAAAUAAAGGCCCCCACCGGCUAACUCUGUGCCAGCAGCCGCGGUAAUACAGAGGGUGCAAGCGUUUAAUCGGAAAUUACUGGCGCGAAAGCACGGCUAAGUCAGAUGUGAAAUCCCCGGUAACCUGGGAACUGCAUCUGGAGGAAUACCGAUGGCGAAGGCAGCCUUCUGGCAUAAUACUGACACUGAGGCUCGAAAGCGUGGGUAGCAAACAGGAUUAGAUACCCUGGUAGUCCACGCCGUAAACGAUGUCUACUAGUCGUUGGGUCCCUUGAGGACUUAGGUGACGCAGCUAACGCAAUAAGUAGAUCCGCCUGGGGAGUACGGCCGCAAGGUUAAAACUCAAAUGAAUUGCUCGAAAGCGUGGGGAAGCAAACAGGAUUAGAUACCCUGGUCUUGCACAUAUCUAGAAUGCAGAGAUGCGGGAGUGCCUUCGGGAAUUAUUCAGUGCUGCAUGGCUGUCGUCAAGCACUCCGCCUGGGGAGUACGGCCGCAAGGCUGAAACUCAAAGGAAUUAAGCCGGGAACUCUAAGGCCCUUACGACCAGGGCUACACACGUCUACAAUGGUAGGUACAUUACCAGGUCUUGACAAUCCUUUCACCACCCCGUCACACCAUGGGAUUGAUUGCACCAGAAGUGGAUAGCUUAACCUUCGGGGAGCUUCACCACGGUGUGGUUGAUGACUGGGGAUGUUGGGUUACAGUCCCCGCAACGAGCGCAACCCUUAUUACUAGUUGCCAGCAUUUAGUUGGGCACUCUAGUGAAGUCGUAACCAAGGUAGCCCGUAGGGGAACCUCGGCUGGAUCACCUCCAUGCCCCUUAUGACCUGGGCUACACACGGUGCUACAAUAGGAUGGUACAACGAGUCGCAAGGUCGCGAGGCCAAGCUAAUCUCUUAAAGCCAUUCUCAGUUCGGAUUGUAGGCUGCAACUCGCCUAACAUGAAGCCGGAAUCGCUAGUAAUCGCGGAUCAGAACG